RNAcentral lists this transfer RNA (87 nucleotides) under Fidelibacterota bacterium. RNAcentral's name for it is "tRNA-Ser". It matches the Rfam family "tRNA". From Rfam's summary of the family: Transfer RNA (tRNA) molecules are approximately 80 nucleotides in length. Their secondary structure includes four short double-helical elements and three loops (D, anti-codon, and T loops). The record is from RNAcentral. Lineage: Bacteria; Pseudomonadati; Fidelibacterota.
GGAGAGGUGGCCGAGUGGCUUAAGGCGCACGCUUGGAAAGCGUGUUAACGGUUACCCGUUACGCGGGUUCAAAUCCCGCCCUCUCCG